Molecule: long non-coding RNA, 2915 nt
Organism: Dermochelys coriacea (leatherback sea turtle)
Lineage: Eukaryota; Metazoa; Chordata; Testudines; Dermochelyidae
Exons: 3
Source: RefSeq, a predicted model, not a curated record
AGUUCAGUUCCUUGCUAAAGCUAGAGAAGAGUGGAUGGUGCUCUAGGCUGGUUGCUGGGACUCCACAAGGACAAGGCCUGGAGUCAACCUUCUACAUUGAAGCAGCAUGGAGGAGUGAAUAGGGCACUGGAUUGUGAAUAAAGACUUGGAUUAUAUUCCUGCUGCGCUACUGACUGCUGUGCAAUGUUAGAACAUGGUGCCAGAAAGUGUCCAGACUGCAAUUCUGCUACUUAGAUGUACACUACAAAAAAGGCACUGAGAUGUAUAUAGCUGAGUUCUUAACCAGAGCAGCCUUGCAACAUGAAAAUGUGGCAACUGAAUAAUAGGAGACCCUCAAUCUGAUAGAAGUACAGAAAACAGUCAGAUAUAGAAAACCACUUCAUCCAAGCUCCAGUUCAAGGAAGGAGCUAGAAGGAAUCCAAGAACAAAUUAAACAAGGCAGAGAUUUACAAGUGCUCAUGUACGUCAUCGUGUCAGGAUGCCCAGACACUUGGGGAGAGGCCCCGCCUGCUUCCCAGAAAUACUACACCAAUCAAGAUGAGCUGACCAUUCAAGGUAACAUCAUAUGUAAGGGAUUCAAAUCUUAGCAUCCAGAUAUCUGAGAACAGAAAGCCUCUCAAGAAUACCUCUGAACCAUUCUGGAACAGAAGCAUGACCAAACCAGAGACACCUUAUACUGGCCAAACACGACCAAGGAUGUCAGAGACCUGAUGAGCAGUUGUCAUAUAUGGGGGGAAAUGCAGGCUAAGGAGCAAAAGGAGACAGUGACAAUAUGCAGCAUUCCUAAAAACUCCUGAGCAAAGACAAAGGACCUUUUCACCACAAACCACUUCAUUAUUGUGGACUACUAUUCAGACUUCUGGGAACUAGAUGAAGUGUCAGACGCUACCAUAGCAGCCAUCAUAGACAAAGCAAUGAAGCAUUUCAAUUGGCAAAAUGUCCAAAACUCUGUAGUUUCUGACAACAGACCCCAGUUCACUUGCUGUGCAUUUGUGCCAUUUACCAGGGAAUUCAGUCGCAUCACAUCUGUACCAUACUACAGCCAGUCAAAUAGCAAAGCUGAAUCAGCAGUUACAUUCUUUGAUAAAUUGCUAAGACUCUAAGCCAUUUUUGAAUGGAAAAACAUCCCAUGGAAGGCAUUGACAGCAGCCUAGGACAAUGCUUGAUAUUAAGACACCUGUUUAGCUUGGUGCCUAUGGCACCAGCAUUGCCACAACUGGCAGUGUUGGAAGGAGCAACAGACAAAAGAGAAGAGAGACGACAUACCAAUGACUGAAAAGCUAAAGGCCUCCCAGGACUACAAACAGGAGACCCUAUUUUUCUAAGGACAAAUCACACACUUGGAAGCAUGAUGAGUCACUGUCUGACUUCUAAAUUGACAAGUGUUUGUGAAAGCAGCAAGACAUGUAUAUGUAAUAGUUAUAAGUGCCCAGGACAGGGUUAUCUACUGAGAACAUCUAAAUGGCCAUCUGGUCUGAGAAACUGCUCCAGUAGAUAUUAGGCUGUUCAAUCACUAAUCAAGCUCUGAAAUGCAUUACUUUUAAACUGCAAGACCCUAUUGUCUAUGCAGUAUUUUGUGGGGAGUUGUCUAUUAGGGCUCCCAUUUUGGGACUAUUAUGCAAAUAUGCACAUCUACAUGGAAAUUUUUCUCUGGGUUUUUGCUGAGCCAAUGACUUCAGUCAGACUAGUUGCAUAUGGAUAUGGAGAGUCAGGCCACAAUGAAUGAACAGAAAACUUUCCAUGGCAUGUAACAAGGAUUAUGGGAGUGCAGGUACUUCAUGAAGGCAGGGAGUUUUAAGACAAUGUCUUUACACACCUGCUUUCAGACAGUAAAAUCCCUAGUUGUGGAAAAGUCCACAGAACUUGACCCAGCUAGGAAAUAGCUGCUCAGGCCCAAUAACUGUGGAUUGCUGUGGAUGAGAGUUAUCAAUCACCUACUCUUAGUACAAUGAUAGGCAAUUCUUCAAGAAACCUCUCUUUCAGACUCUCUAAAAUGGGAGAGCUGCAUAUCAAAUGGGCACACUGAUGACCUGGAUUCUGAGUAUGUCACAGGUCUGUCAGUUCUCUUGCCUGGGGUGGGCUGUAUUCCAUGGAAGGAAUAGUCAUUUUUCAGUCAGCCCACUACAUUUCCUCACUUCUUCUUUCUCUGAAGAUGAUGAUCUUUCCCUAGCAAGCUUCACUUACAAAAACAGCUUCUUGUUCACCACACAGAUUUUUCCCAGGCUCUCUCUGCUCUAGUCAAAAUACAUGCAGGCAAGCUAACUAGACUGCACUUCUGGCUCUUUUCUUCCUAUGUGACCUAAGUUAGUCCCUAGCUAUACUUUUCUCAGUGCUACAAUGUAGUCCAGGCAAUUUAUAUGCUGUUUUCUGGUAUGUUUGGUUUCCAUUAGAGAAACUCAAGCAACAGUUCGGAUUGGUGCCUUAUAAUUUUACCAGAGAAAAAGACCAAGGAUACCUUUUAAAUCACAUAUAUGCGUGUAAGCUGCUUGCAUAUGGAUGCAUUUAAACUUUUAAAGAGCUAGAUGUGUCUUCACAGCAUGAAUGUGUUACUAUGGCAACAGCACUAUUUAGCCUGAUGCCUUUUGACAUUAUUAAUACAAUGGCUUAAGGUGAUUUUUUUUCCAUACAAAAUGUUACCCCACAGAUACCAAAAAAAAUUAAACAUUUGGGGCCAGAUUCUGUUCAUUUACGCAGGUGCAUCCUAUAUUCAGCAGAGGAGUUUGCUUAUGUCUCACUGAGAGCAUAACUUGGCCCUUCAAGCCUAUUAUUAUUAUAAAUGAGGGUAAGUGGGAAAACUUCUAUUAAAGAGGCCAAAAUAUUUGUUUCAUGUUUAUAAAACAAAAACAGAUCCCCAAGUUCCAUGUAGAAAGUGAAAUAUUUCACACAGAUUUAAUGGAAGUUAUUUGUUAUUAGGU